RNAcentral lists this ribosomal RNA (254 nucleotides) under uncultured bacterium. RNAcentral describes it as "partial 16S ribosomal RNA". It matches the Rfam family "Bacterial small subunit ribosomal RNA", at positions 524 to 776 of the family's 1533-position model. The record is from RNAcentral.
UACAGAGGUCUCAAGCGUUGUUCGGAUUCAUUGGGCGUAAAGGGUGCGUAGGUGGCGCGGUAAGUCGGGUGUGAAAUUUCGGAGCUUAACUCCGAAACUGCAUUCGAUACUGCCGUGCUUGAGGACUGGAGAGGAGACUGGAAUUUACGGUGUAGCAGUGAAAAUGCGUAGAGAUCGUAAGGAAGACCAGUGGCGAAGGCGGGUCUCUGGACAGUUCCUGACACUGAGGCACGAAGGCCAGGGGAGCAAACGGG